UGCUGCUGCUUUUUCUGCUUCACUAAAUAAAACCUUUUCUUUUGGCAUUCCUUAUGCCUCUUGGGAUACUAAAGUCCAGUUCAUAAUUGUUUGCCUUGAUUAUGUUUAUAUUGUUUGGGCCUUUUCUGGCCUGUUUGCCCAUAUUUGGGUUUGACUUCUGCUGAAUAGUUGAUAUCUCCAAAUGGAUUGUCUAUAUAUUGUAGUAUUCAUUUUUAAACACGAACUCAAUUGACUUUCUGUUCACCAAGCAUUUACUUCAUUUUUAAUUACUAAGCUGCUGGCAAAAAGAAAUUCAUUCUUAAUCUUAAGUUACACAUGACUUACUCUUUCUAUAUAUUCUAACUAUUAUUUGCAGUCUGAGUGUAGCAAAAUGGAUUCAUCUAAAUUGGGGGGAUGAUGGCUUAAUUACAUUAUUUGCAGAGACUUGGAAGCUGCUCCGACCUGGUGGCAUUUUUGUGUUGGAACCUCAGCCAUGGAAGUCAUAUGAAAGCAACCGUAAUGUCACAGAGAAUACUUCUGCUAACUUCCGUAAUAUUAAGUUUCGACCAGAAGAGUUUCAGGAAAUACUGCUAGAUAAGAUUGGAUUUAGAACAGUAGAAGCAAUCACUUCAGAUUUGUCAGGUAGUACAGUUGGUUUCAACAGACCAAUUUUGGUUUUUCAGAAAUAACGAAUGCAGAAUGCCAUGUGAUGAGUAAAUGUGAUUGAUUCUUCUCAGCAGAGAAGUAGCUGUUAUAUAUUUUGAGAUCAGAAGCUUGCAUGCCAUGAAACUGCUGUUCAAGAUGAUGAAUGACAUGCAUGGAAGCAAAUUUUUGGUUAAAUGAAAAUGCAGUGUCUAAUAGAAUGAGAUAUAAUUUAUUGUAUUAUAAAAAUAUUUAAAGAAUUAAUUAUUUUUAUUUUUAUUUUGUUUCA
Long non-coding RNA from Lathyrus oleraceus (garden pea), 910 nucleotides. RefSeq lists it as uncharacterized. The record is from RefSeq and is a predicted model, not a curated record. NCBI's taxonomy places the organism in Eukaryota, Viridiplantae, Streptophyta, Magnoliopsida, Fabales, Fabaceae. The transcript has 4 exons.